UACGAAGGGGGCUAGCGUUGCUCGGAAUCACUGGGCGUAAAGCGCACGUAGGCGGACUCUUAAGUCGGUGGUGAAAUCCUGGAGCUCAACUCCAGAACUGCCUCCGAUACUGGGAGCCUUCGAGUCCGGGAGAGGUGAGUGGAACUGCGAGUGUAGAGGUGAAAUUCGUAGAUAUUCGCAAGAACACCAGUGGCGAAGGCGGCUCACUGGCCCGGUACUGACGCUGAGGUGCGAAAGCGUGGGGAGCAAACAGG
RNAcentral lists this ribosomal RNA (254 nucleotides) under uncultured bacterium. Its description in RNAcentral is "partial 16S ribosomal RNA". It matches the Rfam family "Bacterial small subunit ribosomal RNA", at positions 524 to 776 of the family's 1533-position model. RNAcentral also lists the same sequence under 1 other name. The record is from RNAcentral.